RNAcentral lists this ribosomal RNA (809 nucleotides) under uncultured bacterium. RNAcentral describes it as "bacterial SSU rRNA". It matches the Rfam family "Bacterial small subunit ribosomal RNA", at positions 41 to 851 of the family's 1533-position model. The record is from RNAcentral.
GGCGUGCCUAAUACAUGCAAGUCGAACGCAUCACUUCGGUGAUGAGUGGCGAACGGGUGAGUAAUACAUAAGUAACCUGCCCUCUUGAGGGGGAUAACUAUUGGAAACGAUAGCUAAGACCGCAUAGGCAUGGACAUCGCAUGAUGACCAUGUUAAAUAUCCCACGGGAUAGCGAGAGGAUGGACUUAUGGCGCAUUAGCUAGUUGGUGAGGUAGAGGCUCACCAAGGCGACGAUGCGUAGCCGGCCUGAGAGGGCGGACGGCCACACUGGGACUGAGACACGGCCCAGACUCCUACGGGAGGCAGCAGUAGGGAAUUUUCGGCAAUGGGCGAAAGCCUGACCGAGCAACGCCGCGUGAGGGAGGAAGUAUUUCGGUAUGUAAACCUCUGUUAUAAAGGAAGAACGCUGGAUGUAGGGAAUGACAUGCAGGUGACGGUACUUUAUGAGAAAGCCACGGCUAACUACGUGCCAGCAGCCGCGGUAAUACGUAGGUGGCGAGCGUUAUCCGGAAUCAUUGGGCGUAAAGAGGGAGCAGGCGGCAAUAGAGGUCUGCGGUGAAAGCCUGAAGCUAAACUUCAGUAAGCCGUGGAAACCAAAUAGCUAGAGUGCAGUAGAGGAUCGUGGAAUUCCAUGUGUAGCGGUGAAAUGCGUAGAUAUAUGGAGGAACACCAGUGGCGAAGGCGACGAUCUGGGCUGCAACUGACGCUCAGUCCCGAAAGCGUGGGGAGCAAAUAGGAUUAGAUACCCUAGUAGUCCACGCCGUAAACGAUAAGUAGUAAGUGUUGGGGGUCAGACCUCAGUGCUGCAG